Molecule: ribosomal RNA, 473 nt
Filed under: uncultured bacterium
Lineage: Bacteria
Description: bacterial SSU rRNA
Rfam family: Bacterial small subunit ribosomal RNA
Source: RNAcentral
AGGGUUUGAUUAUGGCUCAGAACGUACGCUGGCGGCACGCCUUAUACAUGCAAGUCGAACGAAGUAGCAAUACUUAGUGGCAGACGGGUGAGUAACAUGUAGGUAUCUUCCCUUUGGUGAGGAAUAACACGAGGAAACUUGUGCUAAUACCUCAUAAGUCUUUACAGAGAAAGCUUUAUGCGCCGAAGGAUGAGCCUGCACUUGAUUAGUUUGUUGGUGGGGUAAUGGCCUACCAAGACUUUGAUCAAUAGCUGAUCUGAGAGGAUGAUCAGCCACAUUGGGACUGAGACACGGCCCAAACUCCUACGGGAGGCAGCAGUAGGGAAUAUUGCACAAUGGAGGAAACUCUGAUGCAGCGAUGCCGCGUGAGUGAAGAAGGCCUUUGGGUUGUAAAGCUCUUUCGUCGGGGAAGAAAAUGACUGUACCCGAAUAAGAAGGUCCGGCUAACUUCGUGCCAGCCGCCGCAGUAAUAC